CGCAGAUCUCGGCAGGGCCGUAGCUCCCCUCCGGGCCCUUCUGCUCGCGGCCGAGCACAAGGUGGGAGCGAGGGGGCGGCUGUGGGUGCAAACGGGGCUGCUGCGCCUGGAUAACAGCUUUUACGGCGCCCUCCUCCCCUCCAGCCCGCUAGCAAAUGCACGAUAUUGUAUCUGCCUCGGUCCUUGCAUUUUCUCUCUGACUCUCUUUACGCCUCGUCGCCAGCAGGUGCCGUCGCUGCGGGGCAAACGGCGGCAGCAGGACGGGCGCAGGCUGGUGGCGGCCGUCAGCGCUGGCGGGCGGCGGUGGCCCGGCCCCGGAGGACGCAGAAGGUCUCCCAGCGCCAGGCGUGCGGAGGCAGAGUUUCGGGUCCGCAACCUCGCGUGCAAGGCGAGCGGCCCGGCCGGUCCCCUCCCGCCGCGCAUCCGCGGCGUUUUGGCGAGCUCGGGCUCUGCAAGCGGGAUGUGGCGGCAGCAAGUGCCCGUCCCCGGGUCUCUAACCACAUGCAGCAGCAUCUUGCAGCCCGGCAGGCGCAGCGGGCAAGCGCGGCACAAGGCAGCGCUGCCAGGGCCACCGCGUCCCCCUGGGGAAGCGUCUCAGCCGGCACCUCAGCGCUGCCUCCCCAGCGGGUACGAGCUGGGGCGCAAGCGUCAAAACUCCCCAGCGCGACCUGCGCUGCCUACCAGGAGACACUGACACGCCGCCUGCCGAACGGGAAGGACACGUUGCCCAUGGCGGGGUUUGGCCGUCUGCCAUUCCUUUCUCGUCAGCGCUAGGUUUGCUAUGAUAAUUAGAUCUGACUUGUGCAUUAAUUUGUGCUAGUUAUUUACAAAAAUGUUUUGGAUAGUUGUCAUCGUUUUGCGCCAAAGUGCUAUCCGGCGGCAUCUGUCGGGUGGUAAUUCUCCGCAUGAUGGCGAUCCCAUCCGCACGGCGGGCCAGGAGGAAGACGCUGGCGAGGAAUAGUCUCUGAGAGCUAACGACUUCCUUGGGAAGUUAUUCCGGGGUC
Molecule: long non-coding RNA, 1004 nt
Filed under: Apteryx haastii (Great spotted kiwi)
Lineage: Eukaryota; Metazoa; Chordata; Aves; Apterygiformes; Apterygidae
Description: lncRNA (ENSAHAG00000014503.1)
Source: RNAcentral